Molecule: RNA transcript, 5924 nt
Organism: Octopus sinensis (East Asian common octopus)
Lineage: Eukaryota; Metazoa; Mollusca; Cephalopoda; Octopoda; Octopodidae
Gene name: formin-2
Exons: 21
Source: RefSeq, a predicted model, not a curated record
CUUAACGCUGCUAUUAGGUUCUUCGUCUUCUCAGAGUUAUGCUCAGUCGUUCGCACACCUGUCAGUAGGUGGCGCCUUCCAAACAUCUUAUAAAUAAUAUGGUUGCAUUCUUCUCGAACCAUUUCUAGAGGCAGUUGUGUUUUGGGUUUAAUUAUUAUAAUUCAAAAAAUACCCACCACCGCCUUUCUUCAAAAGCCUAUAUCUCCCACAUUCUGUGGCUGCUUAUUGGUUUCCAUUUAUUUACAGCCAGCAACAGUUGAUUCAGUGUGUCUCCUGUCAAACUGUACAUCUAAAAAGAUUCAUGAAGGCAAAGGAAGACGAAGAUCUAGCAUGAAGAACAACUAAAUUGCUUGGAUUUAUUAGGAAAACAUUCUUUAUGGAGGAUUCCAAUUACUAUUUCUCCCACUAAAAUGACUGUAUCCCCACUGCAUCCUUGAAACAACUGUUGUGGUCUCCAGCUGAUAAUUUUUUUUUUGCUUGUUAUGGUUACUAUUUAGAAACUUCUCUCUUAAUAAACCUGAUAACCUCACUGUAAAGGGCUUGUGUUGUUUUGUUAUAUGGAUUUUUAUUUAGCUUUCUAAUUAAUUUUAUCAUGUGUUUAGAUCUGAGCAGCUUAAAGAAAAAACAACAAAAUAUACUAUUAAUUAUAUAGUACGCUAUAUCUGAGAAAUUUGUUUCUUCUGUCUUUGGGGAAAAUGGAUCAUUCAUCAAAUGGUGUCACAACACCAUCUGAUUCAUCUGGUGCUGGAGAUGUGCACCAUCCUUACAGAAGUUUGACUUUUGAUCAUACCAGUGAGCCAACUGGAGAACGAGCUUGUCAUCGGACAAGUUAUUCUCUGGAUAUCACUGAAAAAACAGAAAUAGACAAUAGUCAGCUGUCGAAGCGGGGCAUAAUUGUCACAGAUAUUGAUCAAGCGAUGUUGGACCAUGACACCAGAAUACUUGCGCAGAUGAACAACAUCAGGGCUCAAAAAAGUAUCGAUGUUAUGGCUGUUGCUCCACGAGCAACAGGCAUGCCCCUUCUCUCUCCAGAACCAACAACAAAAAGCAAAAAACAUUCAUUGCAAGAUGCCAAUAGUGCUAUAGCUUCUGCCAAACUUCUUAGUUCAGCAAAUAAUGGCCCUGAAUCAGGAACGGGCAAUGAAUAUGUGAAACAAUUUAAUAACACAGUACAAAGUUCUUUAAAUGGCAAUUAUUCUGCUUUUAAAGUUGACAAAUUACAUUGGCCAACAGAGGUUCCAACUAAAUUGAACUUCAGUCAUCUGGAGGUUUUUGAAGGGCAGAUGUUACUGCAGUGGUUAAGUUCAGGUUUUGCCAAUUCAAUUACCACUCAGAGCUGUGAUCAAGUUAACUAUAAGCAGGAGCGUCGGUUGGCCAUCACCCAAAUCUGUACAUACCUGAUGGCUGCAGGAGUAAUUAAACAGCUGGACACUACUCAGGAGAAAGACUUAAUUUUCAGGCCUGACUGCAUGUACUACUGGACUCAUACAGAAGCCUCAUGCCUUACGCAACCACCUGGUACAGCUCCUGGUAAAAUUGAAUCUUCCUUGUGGCCUUCCGUUUUGGUUUCUAAUUCUUCACAAAGUAAUUCAGCUUUGAAAUAUACUGAAGCUGAACAGCAAGCAUCUCUGGCAAUUCUCAGACAAGAAUAUAAAGAGAGUACAGAGAAUCUAGUGAAAGAACACAAUGUUAGAAAAGCAGAAUUGAUGAAAGAAUUUGAAACCCAAUUAAAACUGAAAAAUGAGGAACUCAAGAAACUAAAAGCUCAAUGUGAGAAGUAUGAAGUUCUUUUGGGGAUUGAACAGAUGACGCAGUCAGCUUGGAAGUAUGCACAAGCUGCUGAGAUGGAAUUGGAGAAAUCACAUUUGAAACCAAAUGAGCUGACUCCAAAUAUGAAUUACAGUCUUUCAGAUACUCCAAGUCCAUCUCAGUACCACACUCCUGCAGCAACACCUGACAAAAUGUUGGCAGACACUCCUCUGAAUUACAUCAAUCGAGAUGAGGACAAAUCUCCAAAUGCAGUGGAAAACAUUACACAGAAGCAUCAACCUCUCAACCGAUGCCUUAUUUCUCCUGAAGGGGAUGAUUCCAUGUGUUUCACAGUGUUGUCACCAACCUCAUCACCCAUGAAAGAUGAUAACCAGCUGUAUAUGAUGAGAGACACGUGUGCUUCACCUCUUUCUGUACCUCCUUCUUCCUCCAGCAUUCUUCAAUCAUCUCCAACUUCUCCCUCUGCACAAACUUCAUGCUCAAUAGUUCCAUCUCAGCCUGCACCAGUGGGAACAGUUUCACCACCUCCACCACCACCACCACCACCACCACCUCCACCACCACCACCACCACCACCAUUACCAACCUUACCCAGUAUCAGCUUAACAUCUUCUACACCACCUCCUCCCCCACCUUUGCCUGGUGCAGGCCCUCGUGUUCCACCUCCUCCCCCACCAUUGCCUGGUGCAGGCCCUCGUGUUCCACCUCCUCCCCCGCCAUUGCCUGGUGCAGGCCCUCGUGUUCCACCUCCUCCCCCACCAUUGCCUGGUGCAAGCCCUUGUGUUCCACCACCACCACCACCACCACCACCACCACCGCCACUGCCUGGUGCAGGCUCACCUUGCCCACCACCACCACCACCUCCACCAUUACCACGAAUGCCUGGGUUGAGACCAACUCCACCUCCAGCACCACCACCUCCAUCCUCAAGUGACACUAAAUCAUCACCUACGCUCCCUUUCACAGGAUAUACAAUGGCUAUGUAUGACACUUCCUCUAAACCAGUUGUGCACCCAAAAUCAAUCAUGAAACCACUAUUCUGGACCCGUAUUCAAGUCCAAGAGGUCAAAAGGAAACAGCCUGCUGGCUCUUCAACAGACCAUGUUUUACUGUGGGAAGAACUUAAUGAGACCAGCAUCAAUUUUGAUGAAUUUGACGAAUUGUUCUCAAAGCCUCCUGCUGAUACAACUUUACGAUCCAAAGCUAAAUCUAAACCAAAAGCAGAUAAGGUUGUAAAAUUGCUGGAUUCCAAACGAUCUCAAGCUCUUGGUAUUUUCUUGUCUAGUCUCCGACUGGAAAUGGCAGACAUUGAAAAUGCUAUCCUCUCAUUUGAUACAUCACUUAUGGACUUGGAGAAGUUAAAAACACUUUAUGAGAUUAGAGGUGAGAAAGCAGAAUUGCAGAAAAUUGAAGACAGAAUUGCAAAGAAUCCUGAUGUGGCCCUUGAUAAACCUGAACAAUUUUUACAUGACCUCAAUCAAAUACCUGACUAUGCUGAACGGAUAUUCUGCUUUAUAUUUCAAUCUACAUUCCAAGAAAACAUAUCAGUCUUGGAAAAUAAACUGAACAAUUUAAAGAUGACAUGUGAAGCAAUGGUGACUGGCGUGUCUAUAAGAAGAAUGCUCUCCCUUGUCUUAACUAUGGGAAACUAUAUGAACGGAGGUCACAUGAAACGUGGUCAAGCUGAUGGAUUUGGGCUGGAGAUUUUAUCAAAACUGAAGGAUGUUAAAAGUAAGGACAACAGGACAAGUUUAUUGCAGUAUGUUGUCAAAGAAUAUGUGCAGAGAUAUGAAAAAGAAGAUGCUGGCACUGAUAAAGUUGCUCUGCCUCUGCCAGAUCCGAGUGAUAUCAAUCAAGCCUCUUUGGUGAAUUUUGAAGAUAUUCUGGUUGAAAUGAGAAAAAUUGAAAAAGAUUUCCAAUCUGCUGAGACUCGGUCUGAUAAAGUCAUAGAAUCUUCUGGAGAGAAGUUCUUACAACCAUUCAAAGAUAUCAUGACUGAGUUUUUCAUUAAAGGUCGACAGGAACUAAAAGAUCAACAGGAGAAUCUUCGAGAAUGUCAAAUCAAAUUUGACUAUGUAGUGAAAUUCUACUGUGUUAAGCCAAAAGCUGGAGAGAAAACUGUUACACCUGUAUAUUUCUUUUCACUGUGGAUGACAUUCUGCAAAGAAUUUAAAGAUUUUUGGAAGAAGGAACAGCAAGUUAUUGUGAAACAAAGAAUCAAAGAAGCUCAAAACAAAGUUAAAGAACUACAAGAAGUGAAAAGACCCUCAUCGAUGCAGAUACGUAACAUUCGGAAAGGCGGUCUGAAAGAUCGUUUGAGUAGCAAACUGAAGGGGGAACUGUUACCAAGGUGAUUGAGAGGUAGGCAUCAGGCAUAUUUCAUUAUCCUUUUCUGUAUAUGCUUACACACACACACACACAUGGACACACAUAAGCACUGAACCAAGAGAUGUGAGAAGCAAAUGAAGAUUUAAUAUUCCCGUUCACACUUGAUCAGCUUAUCAUUAUUGACCGUGUAUAUGACUGUGAGUAGUUGAGCAGAUUCAUUUGCCUACAAGCAUGACCAAAUAUUCAAAUAACUAACCAGUUUGGAAUAAUGUGAAUGAUGGUUAACUUUUGAAAAACGACUGACAGAAAGGACAAACAUAUAAUCAUUUUAUUUCUGGAGACCUUUUUUUCUGAUGAAAACUCCAUCAUUUACCAAUGUUAUUCAAAUUAUGUGGCAGUGAUGUGUGGGUGGAGUAUUUAAUUUCCACUACAUUUAAACCAAUAUGGAUUUUUUGUCUUUUGGUUUAUGUAAAUGUUGACUUUGAAAUGAAAAAAGAAAUAACUAAAAGCCUUGUCAACAUCCUGUAAAUGAAAGAAAGUUCUUUCUCUCUCUCUCUCUCUCUCUCUCUCUCUCACACACACACACACACUCUUUCUCUCUUUGCACACACAAACAGAAUGAUCUAUGAGAUGUUAACUCAUUCUCUCAGUUGAUCUCUGAUUAAAUAUCCAAAUAAGGCCUUUUUUACUCUUGGUGUGUUUGUAUAUGCAUGCAUGUGUGUGUGAAUGUGUAUUUAUAUAUAUACAUCUACGUUUGUGUGCAUGUAUAUAUUCUAUGCCUUUGUAAAUGUGUGCAUGCAAGAGAAUGUUGGCCCAUGAAUGCAAAAACCCUCUAGAAUUGUUAAGCAUUAAACAGAAGAAAAUCUUAUAUAGUUGUUAAGUCACAAUGGAAAGACAUCCUGUAGAAUUGUUGACCUUUUGGUUAAGAAAAGAAAAGGAAUAAAAACAAAGACUUGUACAAAUAAAGGGAAUGUAUGAAACAAAUUCUAUUAUUUUAUAUAAAAAAAAUUGAUUGUUGAGCCAUACACAGAAAGUAUUUUAAAUCAAUUUUAAUCAAAGAACCAAAAAUUUGUUAAGUUAAUAUUUUUCCAACAUCAGAAGAUUAUGUGUACAGCAUUGAUCUGCAUACUAACUCAAUUUGCAUGAUUGUUGACUCAGGAACGUAUUGGCUCUAUGAUCAAGAGGAAUACUUAUGUAAAUGUGCUCCUACUAACAAAAGAUAAGCUACAUGAAUUAACUGCCUAUGAAUUAUGAAGAACCUGAUAUGGAUGUUAUCUGUGAAUAUAAACAAUUGAACUAUAAAUAAAAGAUUAUUUAUAAAAAUGUGAUGUACACUUUGAGAAAUUUGACUUCAUUAGCAGUGGUUUUCUUUUAUAUAUGUUGACCGAACAUUACAAGAUUUUAUGUAUAAAUGUUAAUCUUCUGUCUUGUUAAACCCAAAUCCAAAAUGAAACUAUCAUCAACUCCCAUAUACCUCCAGUUUUUACUGCAAUCAGACAUGACCAUAUUUAUUUUUAUAUCUGUAUCUCCUCCCACCCCUCUCUUUCACACAUGUGUGUAGAUGUAUGCACAUAUGUGUAUGGAUGUAUAGUAAUAUUUUGAACUUGUUUAAAAGCUAGCACUGUUGGGUAGAAAGUAAGCUCACUUCAAGUCAUGUUUGAACCCUGGUUUUGUUUCUUUGUUGUGACCAUUUUACUUCACUUUCAGUGCUAAUGUCUAUGAGAAAGAUAUGAAAUUCACUAUACAAGCUACACACUUUCCACUUUUCUGAACCUAGUAAACAAAAUAUUUGUAUUUAAUAAAAUAAAAUAAAAUAUUUUGAAAUU